RNAcentral lists this unclassified non-coding RNA (337 nucleotides) under soil metagenome. RNAcentral's name for it is "partial contains 5.8S ribosomal RNA, internal transcribed spacer 2, and large subunit ribosomal RNA". The stretch from base 1 to 120 matches the Rfam family "5.8S ribosomal RNA", at positions 35 to 154 of the family's 154-position model. The record is from RNAcentral.
GAUGAAGAACGUAGCGAAAUGCGAUACGUAAUGUGAAUUGCAGAAUUCAGUGAAUCAUCGAGUCUUUGAACGCACAUUGCGCCCCAUGGUAUUCCGUGGGGCAUGCCUGUUCGAGCGUCAUUUACCCCCUCAAGCUCCGCUUGGUGUUGGGCGUCUGUCCCGCUUCGCGCGCGGACUCGCCCCAAAGGUAUUGGCAGCGGUCGUGCCAGCUUCUCGCGCAGCACAUUGCGCUUCUCGAGGCACCGGUGGGCCCGCGUCCAUCAAGCUCACCCCCCCAGUUUGACCUCGGAUCAGGUAGGGAUACCCGCUGAACUUAAGCAUAUCAAUAAGCGGAGGA